AACAAGGCGUACCUGCGGACCUGCGGAGGGAUCAUUACGAGAGUGUCACCACUCCCAACCCAUUGUUUACCUACCCGUCCACCGUGCUUCGGCAGGCAGCCCUGUGGGACAGAGCCUCGCCCCCUUUCGCGGGGGGUGCCUGCCGCUUGCCAACCAAAACUCUAGCUGUUUUAGUACCAUCUGAGUCUUCCACAAAUGAACAAAACUUUCAACAAUGGAUCUCAGAUCGGAAGAGCACAC
This 240-nucleotide unclassified non-coding RNA is filed under the name soil metagenome. RNAcentral's name for it is "partial contains 5.8S ribosomal RNA, internal transcribed spacer 2, and large subunit ribosomal RNA". The record is from RNAcentral.